Sander lucioperca (pikeperch) is the source of this 307-nucleotide long non-coding RNA. RefSeq lists it as uncharacterized. NCBI's taxonomy places the organism in Eukaryota, Metazoa, Chordata, Actinopteri, Perciformes, Percidae. The record is from RefSeq and is a predicted model, not a curated record. The transcript has 3 exons.
CCACGAUGAUUCACAUUCAGCUUUCACUUAAGGCAAGAUGGAAGAAAGGAGGAUACCAAGAUAAGAAGAUCAAGAAGAUAAAGAAAGCUAAAUUUGACAAGGAUCAACAGACCAGACAGCUCUCCCACAGCCAGCCUGAGAACCUGCUUUACGGUCUGAAUAGCCUGGGUGAAGUUGAAGACUCGUGCAUCAGAUGGCUGAGAAAAGGAUAGCCCAGAGCAAGAGGGAGCCCAGCAGAGGCUAAGAAGGAGGCAGCAAAGGAGUUCACAAACCCACAUACAGCUAAUGGAGGUACCGAAUGACAGGU